RNAcentral lists this ribosomal RNA (236 nucleotides) under uncultured Staphylococcus sp. Its description in RNAcentral is "partial 16S ribosomal RNA". It matches the Rfam family "Bacterial small subunit ribosomal RNA", at positions 103 to 334 of the family's 1533-position model. The record is from RNAcentral. Lineage: Bacteria; Bacillati; Bacillota; Bacilli; Caryophanales; Staphylococcaceae.
CGGGUGAGUAACACGUGGAUAACCUACCUAUAAGACUGGGAUAACUUCGGGAAACCGGAGCUAAUACCGGAUAAUAUUUUGAACCGCAUGGUUCAAAGUGAAAGACGGUCUUGCUGUCACUUAUAGAUGGAUCCGCGCUGCAUUAGCUAGUUGGUAAGGUAACGGCUUACCAAGGCAACGAUGCAUAGCCGACCUGAGAGGGUGAUCGGCCACACUGGAACUGAGACACGGUCCAG